Molecule: ribosomal RNA, 274 nt
Filed under: uncultured bacterium
Lineage: Bacteria
Description: partial 16S ribosomal RNA
Rfam family: Bacterial small subunit ribosomal RNA
Source: RNAcentral
AUACGGUGGGGGCAAGCGUUGCUCGGAAUUACUGGGCGUAAAGGGUCUGCAGGUAGCUUUGUAAGUUAGAUGUGAAAUCUCAGGGCUCAUCCCUUAAACUGCAUCUAAUACUGCAGAGCUUGAGUACAGGAGAGGUUGGCGGAAUUCCCGGUGUAGCGGUGAAAUGCGUAGAUAUCGGGAGGAACAUCAGUGGCGAAGGCGGCCAACUGGCCUGUUACUGACACUCAGGGACGAAAGCGUGGGUAGCGAACCGGAUUAGAAACCCCGGUAGUCC